GGUGUUCUUGCAAUGGAUGUUUUAUGAACCCGGUCAGAUCUGGAAGGAAGCAGCCGUAAUGAAAUAUGCAUGUGCAUUGAGCCAAUGA
Molecule: signal recognition particle RNA, 88 nt
Filed under: Blochmannia endosymbiont of Polyrhachis (Hedomyrma) turneri
Lineage: Bacteria; Pseudomonadati; Pseudomonadota; Gammaproteobacteria; Enterobacterales; Enterobacteriaceae
Description: Bacterial small signal recognition particle RNA
Rfam family: Bacterial small signal recognition particle RNA
About the family: The signal recognition particle (SRP) is a universally conserved ribonucleoprotein involved in the co-translational targeting of proteins to membranes. Archaeal SRP consists of a 7S RNA and homologues of the eukaryotic SRP19 and SRP54 proteins.
Source: Rfam by way of RNAcentral